AAUCUUAAAAGAAAAAGAAAAAUAGAAAUAAAAGAAAAAAAGUAUUUAAAUAAAAUAUAAUUCAUGCAUGAAAGCCAUGCAUUUACGUUGGCAAUUCUCCCUUUUAAAGCAUAAUAAGCCCAUUCCCUUUCAACAUAACAAGCCCAACACUUCUCUUUUUAAGCUUAAGUAUAAGAAACAGAAACCAUCAGAUGCGUUUCUUUUCUUUCAUCCGUUUUCUUCUUUUGAAUUUAAAAACCCUACUCAUUCGUUUUAUUCUGGAACCCUAGCCGUCUCCCUAUCUCAAAAAUAUUCAGAAACAUUACGGUAAUCAUUCCUUUUCCUUUCUAUUCAAGAUUCGCUUCACUCUAAAUUUUCUUUGACGGUUCAUAUCGACUCCGCGAUCUCUUCGAUCCUUACGUGUAUGGAAUCAAUAAAGACUCUUCGACUACUCGCGCUCAGGAGUCGAACCAGGGUUAGCUGUUUGCCAAGAGUCACGUGGAUAAGCAAGCAGUUUAUGAUUUGAAAGCUGGUCCACUCCGAUUCUUUUGAUUCCUCGGAGGUUUUAUUGUUAUUAAACUAGAUUCUGUUUUCGAACUCUUAGACCGCAGUAGAACUAGCUUAUGUAUUACAUUUGUUAUUGCACUUUGCAAUUGUCGAUUUAAUCGAUUAAUUAUUGUUGGCAUGUUUACACUGGAAUAUUUUAUUAUUAUAUUUAAGGCAUGCGGUGGAAUAUUUCAGAUACUUAAGUUAUUUAUAUUAGAACUGUAUUAUAAAUUGCUAGACUUAGGUUGGAGUCUCGGUUGCCCCCGAGCAGUUUUCUGCAGGUUUAAAUGU
This is a long non-coding RNA of Mercurialis annua (annual mercury), 816 nucleotides long. RefSeq lists it as uncharacterized. The transcript has 4 exons. Lineage: Eukaryota; Viridiplantae; Streptophyta; Magnoliopsida; Malpighiales; Euphorbiaceae. The record is from RefSeq and is a predicted model, not a curated record.